AAAGAGUAAGGGUCUCACCGGCCCGACCUCCAACCCUUUGUUGUCAAAACACCCUUGUUGCUUUGGCGGGACGCCCCGGGCCCCCGGCCCGGCGGCCGCCUGGUCUCAACCGACCGGUCGAGCGCCCGCCAGAGUCAAACCAAACUCUUGUUUUUGACCCGUCGUCCGAGUAGAUUAUUUUAAUAAAUCA
Molecule: unclassified non-coding RNA, 190 nt
Filed under: uncultured fungus
Lineage: Eukaryota; Fungi
Description: sequence contains ITS1
Source: RNAcentral